This 419-nucleotide ribosomal RNA is filed under the name uncultured bacterium. RNAcentral describes it as "bacterial SSU rRNA". It matches the Rfam family "Bacterial small subunit ribosomal RNA", at positions 359 to 776 of the family's 1533-position model. The record is from RNAcentral.
GAAUAUUGGUCAAUGGGUGAGAGCCUGAACCAGCCAUGCCGCGUGCAGGAAGACGGCCUUCUGGGUUGUAAACUGCUUUUGCCAGGGGAUAAAAUUUCUUUGCGAAGAAAAUUGAAGGUACCUGGUGAAUAAGCCACGGCUAACUACGUGCCAGCAGCCGCGGUAAUACGUAGGUGGCAAGCGUUGUCCGGAUUUAUUGGGUUUAAAGGGUGCGUAGGCGGCCUAUUAAGUCAGUGCUGAAAUAUCCCGGCUUAACCGGGAGGGUGGCAUUGAUACUGAUGGGCUAGAGUACAGAUGAGGUAGGCGGAAUUGACGGUGUAGCGGUGAAAUGCUUAGAUAUCGUCAAGAACACCUAUAGCGAAGGCAGCUUACUAGGCUGUAACUGACGCUGAGGCACGAAAGUGUGGGGAUCAAACAGG